RNAcentral lists this non-coding RNA (23 nucleotides) under Arabidopsis thaliana (thale cress). Lineage: Eukaryota; Viridiplantae; Streptophyta; Magnoliopsida; Brassicales; Brassicaceae. The record is from RNAcentral.
AAACUAGAACUCAAAUCCCUCGU